GAUGAAGAACGUAGCGAAAUGCGAUAAGUAAUGCGAAUUGCAGAAUUCAGUGAAUCAUCGAAUCUUUGAACGCACAUUGCGCCCGCUAGUAUUCUGGCGGGCAUGCCUGUCUGAGCGUCAUUUCAACCCUCGCCCCCGGCUUUUGCUGGGAGCGGUGUUGGGGAUCGGCCGCCCGUCACCGGGAGGCCGGCCCCGAAAUAGAGUGGCGACCACGCCGUGUGCUCCUCUGCGUAGUAGUAAAUCACCUCGCAGGCGGACAGCGGUGCGGCCUGCCGUAAAACCCCCAACUCUUUCUGGUUGACCUCAGAUUAGGUAGGAAUACCCGCUGAACUUAAGCAUAUCAAUAAGCGGAGGA
Molecule: unclassified non-coding RNA, 355 nt
Filed under: soil metagenome
Description: partial contains 5.8S ribosomal RNA, internal transcribed spacer 2, and large subunit ribosomal RNA
Rfam family: 5.8S ribosomal RNA (bases 1-120)
Source: RNAcentral